ACAUCGACCAAAAUCAGAGAAUGUGCCAUUUGACCCAAAAGAGCAGCGAUGUCAGUGUCUGAAGAAAAUGCCAACAUUCGAGACCACCACCGCCGCUUGCUGGCGGCGAAAUACGAGCUAAGGCGGAACCUGUACAAGGCCCUCUGCAAGGACCCAACCCUUCCCAGCGAUCUGCGCGAGGAGAACCGCUUCAAGCUCUCCAAGCUGCCCCGGAACAGCUCCUUCACGCGCGUCAGGAACCGCUGCAUCUUCUCCGGCCGCGCACGCGCCGUCUACGAGACCUUCCGUAUGUCCCGUAUCGUUUUCCGUGCUCUCGCCUCCAAAGGCAUGCUAAAUGGCGUUAAGAAAGCGUCUUGGUAGCCUCCCAAAACGAUUGCUGAUAAGACUGCAGAAGUCAGUAAAGUUCAUCUGUUGCUAUGUUACUGAUCGGAAUACGACAGACUGGUCAUUCCCUUCUUCUUCUGGUUAUGGUAAAAAGUAAUACGUUUAUUGGUGUUGAAUAAAAAAGUUUUAGGCUUAACGAUUUGCGCUUACAUUGUUUUUGAGUCGAAGUAUGGAACAGAGCGUGUGUGCUUCUUCGUGCGCGUGAACAUUGUUCGUAGGAGAGGAAACUAACAGCUUUAAGAUCAGAAACAAGGGAAGAAGCUUUUGAGCUCUA
Molecule: long non-coding RNA, 658 nt
Organism: Malus domestica (apple)
Lineage: Eukaryota; Viridiplantae; Streptophyta; Magnoliopsida; Rosales; Rosaceae
Source: RefSeq, a predicted model, not a curated record